CGAAAUUCCUUUAGGUUCAAGAGAAGUGAAGACAGAGUUCAGAUGGUAAAUGGCAAAGUUCGAAAAAAUAUGUGAGUAGAAAUGCAGACCACUUUGGACAGGCGUGGCUCAAAACUGCUUGGUGCUCUCUCCUAAGACAUCAUCUUCUUACACUCCACUGAACAGAAAACCAUCCCUUCUACAGGCAUGAACUUCUGCCCGAUGAGACACUUGCUGCAGCAGGAACACAAAAAGCACUCGGUGGAUGCAUGCCAGCUGAAGUUGUUGUACGUCACCCGCUGCACUUCUGGGUCAAUGGCAUUGUGGCAUCCUUGACACACCUGCUCAGGAGUAACACAGGAAAGUCCAUAAUGAUCCUGAGUAAAUUGAGAAAUAUGAGAAAACAAGUCAGCUACUUAAACAUUUCCCAACAUUAGACACUGAAGAAAUAAAAGGAGAAACUCUACUAUCCAGCUGCUUACAAAGUCUAGGGAAGGAGACAGG
This is a long non-coding RNA of Fukomys damarensis (Damara mole-rat), 483 nucleotides long. RefSeq lists it as uncharacterized. Lineage: Eukaryota; Metazoa; Chordata; Mammalia; Rodentia; Bathyergidae. The record is from RefSeq and is a predicted model, not a curated record. The transcript has 3 exons.